This 3644-nucleotide long non-coding RNA is filed under the name Gallus gallus (chicken). RNAcentral describes it as "lncRNA (ENSGALG00010016323.1)". Lineage: Eukaryota; Metazoa; Chordata; Aves; Galliformes; Phasianidae. The record is from RNAcentral.
GGAGAGGUUGUGCAGUCCAGCUGCACAUUAGAGCAACCGAUGUCUGCCACAGGGCUAUAGAAGAUGCACUGGCCUCUGUCAGUAAAUGAGCCUGAUGUCUAAGGGUAUUGAAGAGAGAGGGACUGAAAGAAAUGGGGUACCAUAUCCACGUCACCCAAGAAACCACGCUGUGAAUGCUGCGAAGUACAAGCAGGAUCGAAGAGUCAGACCCACACCAUUCCUGCUCACGAUGACACCCUGGCAUCUGAAGAACAACAUGACACCCACCACAAAACGCUGCUGUUGGCUAGCGCUGUCUUAAACGGUGAGGUUUCAUGAGGGAGGUGAGACUGCCAAAGGAAGGCAAGUGGGGGUGUCACAGCAACGGGACCAGGCCACCAGCAUGACUCUAGUCUAUGAGACCUGUAAAAACUCCAGAGAGGGUAGUUGUGGUUUAAUCGUUUCUUCUACCCCUAUAAAGUAAAAGGCAAAGCUAACAGUUACCAUAUGGUAAAGGUAUGAUUCAAAGCCCUGCGUAGUGAGUGCCACGAGGACAAAUAUGCACGCACGAUUAUCUCCGUGCUGAGAGAUGGGGCUGAAUGUAGGUAUGUAUAUACAGUGAAGUCUGUGACUUCAGUGACUUCUGUAAGGAGGUGAAGGCAAGCUCCCAGCGAACUAACAGCCUCCACAGAUGAUCCUUUAUGAACGUUUUGCAUUUGGUGUACUUUCCCUUAAGGCAGCGUGAUGUAUCCCAUCACACACGUGUAUACGUGUGUGUGUGUGUGCAGAGACACUGGGAAUGUCUUAUGUGCAUAUUACACAACAUAUGCCAUUCGUGUAAUCACUUUAGAUAUAUAAAUAAAAUUCGUUUUAUAUACAUAAAUAAAAUAUGUGAAGGUAUUCCUUAAAGGAGCCAUAAAGGCCCACGUGUAGGUGGAUUCUUCAUCACAUCCAAAGAACUGAAAGACCGGGGAUAUAAAGCGGAAUCUUUUUAUAUGAGCGUGUAUCUCUUAUAAUCUCUCCAUAAAAUCCACAUGGCUGCAUAACCACUUCCAGAGAUGCGGAUGGAAGUUAUACCUGGACAGCCCGAAAGCCUUUAAUAAGUAAAGCAGCAUAUAAUCCUAUGAAAUGCCUUUCAGGAGUGAAAUAAUUACAAAGCGCUGGAGCAAGAGCAGCAAACAGCAGGAAAAUCACCUGUGAAUAGAUGUGAGAAACUGGAAGUGUACUCCAGUGUUUGUGUGGUCAUCAAAAUCAAACGUUCAGGAGCUGGAAAUCCAACUGCCGGGAGGGCAGACUGAUACAUUUAUAGGCACGUAUAGCCCGUGCCUUAAACUUUGAGUCUGCAACGUUGUUAGUGAGGUAUCCUCCUUUAUAAUGCUUGGCAUUUGUUCCCUUGGCAUUUAAAGAAGAUGGGCUGUUUUAAUUACAAUUUGAGCGAAUUCUUUAAAAGAAAAAAAAACCAAACUGCAAAAUGACUGAUGCAAAUCCCGGCCACUCGUGAGCACAAUGAAAUUCUACUGAGCAGAGAGGACACCGGGAGAGGCUCCCGAUCAGCUGCAGCAGAGAAUGCCCUGCGCUACGCAGCCCUCAGACGCCGGGAUUCUGAAAUACGAAUUAGACCUCAAAUGCAAAUCAACCUCCGAAGGGGGAGAAGGAAAAAAAUAAUAAUAAAAAAAAAAAAAUCAGAGAGACAUACCGAGUCAAACGCUCCUUUUUCUGCCUAUCUCGUCCCCAGUGUUAAAACAGGCAAAACAAAACAAGUGCACAUCAAGAUAGAGCCAAUUAAGGGGAAGGCAGCGCGGAGGGCGGGUGGGAGGCAGCCACCUCGCCGAGCACAUGGGGAGCGGGAGCGCAUCGCCCCACCUCGAGCCGUCCCUGAGCCUUCCGAGCUCUCCCAGGAGGACAACGGGGGUAAAUCGGAACCGGCUUUGAUUCUGUCAUCCGGUUGCACCUGGGAUAACGCGGAGGAGAGGGGGGAACGGGGCGGACGGCGCCGUCCAACCUCCCGCAGCCACGAGCACAGCGGAUCCGGCACGGGAGAGUUCGGGCAGCGCGGAGCGGUGCGCUUCGGCCAAGGGUGGCACCGGGAUCCCAGCGCAGUGCCGCACUCCGCGCGGCCGGGCUUUACGCACAGCGCAGUACGCGGGAGGUGUCUUUACGUUUAACGUUUUAAUUUGGACAUGCUAAUUAGGCUGUGGGUCUCCACGGUUCUAUCGGCGGAUAGCUGAUCGCUUCCCUCUGCGAGGAAGUGUCUGCUAAAUACAUUUCCCGGCCCCGAUCUCCGUUCCCAGAAGCCCGUCUAGCAGAACCGUCCCGUCGGGCGAAACGGACCUUUAAUAAUGGAAGGCCGAGGGAGGUUCUGCGCAGCGGCGCACCGCCUCGGGCACGGCCCCAACGCGGCCCUCUGCAGCGGAGCCAUCGAAAUAACUCCGUGCCCAGCGAACUUGUUGCUCGCUUUCAGCUCCUCCGCUCACCCCGGCUCGGGUCGGUGCCAGGCGAGGGGCAGAGGCAGCCUGGGGGAGAAGCCGCCGCUGUCGGGGUGAGAAACUUCCCGGGCUCCAAAGCCGCCCGCUCUGGGCGUCGAGGGGCAGCGGCCGCUCCGCUGCUGGGAACUGCGCCCUGGCCAUGUGUUUUCCCCGUGUGGAACGUUGCUCGCAAGUGCGGGAGGUGGAAAGUUUUGUUCACGUCAUUAUCUCAAAGCUUUCCCCGCGCGGUCAGUGGACGCAGAGGCUUCACUCCGUUUUCCGAAUGAAAACCCACGGACGCUUGAUGUGAAAAGUGCAUGCUCCCGUGGGCCGUGCUUUCCCCGAUUACUUUCUUUUUUCUUUUUCUUUUUCUUUUUUUCUUUCACUUUCUUGGCUCCGUCCCGCCAGGAUCUCUCUACGUUUACGGGCUGUACGGUUUCCAGGGCUCCAAUGGGGCUUUCCCUGAUGGAGGCGAGGAACAGAACUUUCCCACUCGCUCGGAAACUGCCGAGGAUCCGGCGGGGGGAGCACACAAAGAGGCCCCAAAUCCCCCCCGGGGCUCAGGGACAUCCCCUGCAGGUGCAGGACCAAAGCUGCAGGGAUGGCCCAAAGCGGUGCAUGUGUCGCUCUCGUCCCCUAUUAUGAGCACUACGGGAGUGAAACGGGGGGUGCGGAGCGGGUUCUUGGGACAGCGGUUCUUGAGCCCACGCACGUUGGUGAAGGGAAACGCGGGGCCGUGCGCGCCGUCGGGCUGAGCCAGGGUUAAUGCCUGCGGGCCCAGACACGCUGUGCUCCGGGCGGGGGGUGGGGGGGUGGUGGCGAGGGGGCUCUGCCAGCUGCUCCCGCAGCGUGGGGAGCGGGAGGGGCGGAAAGGAGGAGCCAUCAGAUUAGGGCACACAAAAACAUUUAAAAAAAUAAAAUAAAAAAAAUAUAUAAAAAGACUACUUUUCCAGGCUUAACACAGCCAUUAAAUAUUAAAAGUUCAAAAAAAAUUAUAUAUAUAUGUAUAUAUAUAAAAGACCACGAGUCGUUUUAUUGCAUCUCCACGGGCUUAAGCGCUUUAUUUGGGCGAUAAAAAAUAUUAAAACAAACAAAUAAAUCAAAAUCGUGUGUGUAAUUGGUGCCCUCACUCCCUUGACGGCCUCGGAUCCCUCGCAGGUAUCGCCCCCCGAUCCCGCAGCUCCACCCCCAGCAAUCCCG